This is a long non-coding RNA of Macadamia integrifolia, 756 nucleotides long. RefSeq lists it as uncharacterized. The record is from RefSeq and is a predicted model, not a curated record. Lineage: Eukaryota; Viridiplantae; Streptophyta; Magnoliopsida; Proteales; Proteaceae. The transcript has 3 exons.
CUUUGAAAAGUGCAAUUGAGAUUCCAGAAACAGGGGAUUCUUAGAAGCUUCUUCGUCAAGAUCCACGAGUGGAGAAGAUGGCAGCUCAGAGGGGUCUCUCCUCUUCUACCUUUAGUUUUCCUUAGUUCUAUAGAGAAAGAACUUCAGAUAGAUGCUCUGAGUUUGCCAAGGUUGAGGAGUCUGGGUUCCCUUCCCUGCUGAUGGCAAUGUCAAAGGUGAGGACAUAAUCCCUUCAGAUAGAUGCUCUGAGUUUGCCAAGGUUGAGGAGUCUGGGUUCCCUUCCCUGCUGAUGGCAAUGUCAAAGGUUAACUACAUUUAAAGGUGACAUUGAGACUCCAAUAGGGCUAAGUCUCUUUGGAGAAGAUAAGAUGGAAAUUGUUGGUACUUGGAUUAUAGAGUUUCAACAAUAUUUUUGCAAAUGGGCUCGCUUUAAUUUAAAACGUGGUAAAGCUGAUACGAUUUGUAUUGCACCUACAUGAGAUAAGUCACCAAAUUACAAACAGAAUAAAAGAAAAUUUUCACACAUGGACACGUUUGAAGAAUCAAAGAACGAUAUGGAUAUCAGGAUUUUUUUUUCACAGCCUUCGACAAUCAUUUUCUUGUACGGGUUUUCUGCCUCUUCACACCUAAUAUUGUUGUUAGUUUUAUCUAUAUCCUGGGUUUACAAGAGACACACAAUGCCUACCCUUGAAAAUUCAAAGCCAAUAUUGAAGAAUACACACUUUCUAUAUUAUUGGCUAGCUCUUAUAUCUUGCA